Molecule: small RNA, 400 nt
Filed under: Arabidopsis thaliana (thale cress)
Lineage: Eukaryota; Viridiplantae; Streptophyta; Magnoliopsida; Brassicales; Brassicaceae
Description: ATSL102280
Source: RNAcentral
UUUUUUUUUAGUUUUUUUUUCUUUUUGUCGGCCAAGUUUCGUAUUAAUUAUUAAAGCCCAAUAAAGGGUAUUACAUAUGCUGGUGAAAAAGUCCGAUCUCUUACCAUUUACAACUUUGAUUUAAAUCUAAGGUCCAGCUUAACCCACCCAAAUUUAAAGAUAAGGUUAAGAAAAUAAAGUGCCACGUAGCAGACACAUGUCUAACGUGAGAUGAAGAGAUGUUGAAACACAACGGCGCCGGUUGAUCCACGAUCCACCUUGCUCCGGCGGUCGGGCUUGGUCAAAUCAACACCAUGUGCUUCUUCCACAGUAUUCGCCGGCUCUUAGUAACUGAAGACUCCAUGCCAUUAAGAAUUUUUUAAGAGAGAAAAAAGGGAGAAAACUUUUUAAGAAUUUUUUU